This 87-nucleotide transfer RNA is filed under the name Sulfitobacter pontiacus. RNAcentral's name for it is "tRNA-Leu". It matches the Rfam family "tRNA". Rfam says of the family: Transfer RNA (tRNA) molecules are approximately 80 nucleotides in length. The record is from RNAcentral. Lineage: Bacteria; Pseudomonadati; Pseudomonadota; Alphaproteobacteria; Rhodobacterales; Roseobacteraceae.
GGGGGCAUGGCGGAAUUGGUAGACGCGCUGGAUUUAGGUUCCAGUUGGAUAACACCAGUGAGAGUUCGAGUCUCUCUGUCCCCACCA